AUUGAACGCUGGCGGCAGGCCUAACACAUGCAAGUCGGACGGUAGCACAGGGAGCUUGCUCUCGGGUGACGAGUGGCGGACGGGUGAGUAAUGUCUGGGGAUCUGCCCGAUAGAGGGGGAUAACCACUGGAAACGGUGGCUAACACCGCAUAACGUCGCAAGACCAAAGAGGGGGACCUUCGGGCCUCUCACUAUCGGAUGAACCCAGAUGGGAUUAGCUAGUAGGCGGGGUAACGGCCCACCUAGGCGACGAUCCCUAGCUGGUCUGAGAGGAUGACCAGCCACACUGGAACUGAGACACGGUCCAGACUCCUACGGGAGGCAGCAGUGGGGAAUAUUGCACAAUGGGCGCAAGCCUGAUGCAGCCAUGCCGCGUGUAUGAAGAAGGCCUUCGGGUUGUAAAGUACUUUCAGCGGGGAGGAAGGCGAUGUGGUUAAUAACCGCAUUGAUUGACGUUACCCGCAGAAGAAGCACCGGCUAACUCCGUGCCAGCAGCCGCGGUAA
This 504-nucleotide ribosomal RNA is filed under the name uncultured bacterium. RNAcentral's name for it is "partial 16S ribosomal RNA". It matches the Rfam family "Bacterial small subunit ribosomal RNA", at positions 29 to 523 of the family's 1533-position model. The record is from RNAcentral.